RNAcentral lists this ribosomal RNA (400 nucleotides) under uncultured bacterium. RNAcentral's name for it is "bacterial SSU rRNA". It matches the Rfam family "Bacterial small subunit ribosomal RNA", at positions 356 to 773 of the family's 1533-position model. The record is from RNAcentral.
GGGGAAUAUUGGACAAUGGGCGAAAGCCUGAUCCAGCCAUGCCGCGUGAGUGAUGAAGGCCCUAGGGUUGUAAAGCUCUUUCGCCAGGGACGAUAAUGACGGUACCUGGAUAAGAAGCCCCGGCUAACUUCGUGCCAGCAGCCGCGGUAAUACGAAGGGGGCUAGCGUUGUUCGGAUUUACUGGGCGUAAAGCGCACGUAGGCGGAUUUUUAAGUCAGGGGUGAAAUCCCAAGGCUCAACCUUGGAACUGCCUUUGAUACUGGAAGUCUCGAGUCCGGGGGAGGUGAGUGGAACUGCGAGUGUAGAGGUGAAAUUCGUAGAUAUUCGCAAGAACACCAGUGGCGAAGGCGGCUCACUGGCCCGGUACUGACGCUGAGGUGCGAAAGCGUGGGGAGCAAAC